Molecule: ribosomal RNA, 465 nt
Filed under: uncultured bacterium
Lineage: Bacteria
Description: partial 16S ribosomal RNA
Rfam family: Bacterial small subunit ribosomal RNA
Source: RNAcentral
GACGAACGCUGGCGGCGUGCUUAACACAUGCAAGUCGAACGGAAAGGCCCCUUUGUUGGUACUCGAGUGGCGAACGGGUGCGUAACACGUGCGUAACCUGCCCUUGACUUCGGGAUAACGUCAACAAACUGGGGCUAAUACCGGAUAGGAAUCCUAACUGCAUGGUGGGGGUUGGAAAGCUUCGGCGGUUUUGGAUAGACUCGCGGCUUAUCAGCUCGUUGGUGGGUUAGUGGCUUACCAAGUCGUUGACCGGUAGCCGGCCUGAGAGGGCGACCGGCCACCUUGCGCCUGCGGGACGGCCCAGACUGGUAUGUUAGGCAGUAGUCGGGAAUAUUGCAGAACGAGCGCGAGCCUGAUGAAGAAGCUCUCCGUGCGGAAUGCCCGCUUUCGGGUUGAAAACCGUGUUGAGAAGGGGAGAAGCAUGUGGUGACGGUACCUGCACAGAAAGCAACGGCUAACUACGUG